This 208-nucleotide ribosomal RNA is filed under the name uncultured bacterium. RNAcentral describes it as "partial 16S ribosomal RNA". It matches the Rfam family "Bacterial small subunit ribosomal RNA", at positions 568 to 774 of the family's 1533-position model. The record is from RNAcentral.
UGCGUAGGCGGUUUAGUAAGUAGGGUGUGAAAUGCCCAGAGCUCAACUUUGGCACGGCGCUCUAAACUGCUAAACUUGAGUGAGAUAGGGGUGUACGGAACUUCCGGUGGAGCGGUGAAAUGCGUUGAUAUCGGAAGGAACACCGGUGGCGAAAGCGGUACACUGGGUCUUAACUGACGCUGAGGCACGAAAGCCAGGGUAGCGAACG